UUUGUGUCUAGCUCAGGGAUUGUAAGCGCACCAAUCAGCACCCUGUCAAAACGGACCAAUCAGCUCUGUGUGAAACAGACCAAUCGGCUUUCUGUAAAAUGGACCAAUCAGCAGGAUGUGGGUGGGGCCAGGUAAGAGAAUAAAAGCAGGCUGCCUGAGCUAGCAGCGGCAAUGUGUUGGGGUCGCUUUCUACACCGUGGACACUUUGCUCAUUUGCUCUUUGCAAUGAAUCUUGCUACUGCUCACUCUUUGGGUCAACACUGCCUUUUUGAGCUAUAACAGCGACUGCAAAGAUCUGCAGCUUCACUCCUGAAGCUAGCGAGACCGCAAACCUACCGGGAGGAACGAACAACUCCAGACGUGCUGCCUUAAGAGCCCGUAACACUCACCGCUAAGGUCUGCAGCUUCACUCCUGAGCCAGCGAGACCACAAACCCACCAGAAGGAAUAAACUCUGAACACAUCCGAAUGUCAGGAGAAACAAACUCCAGACACGCCGCCUUUAAGAACUGUAACACUCACUGCGAGGGUCCGCGGCUUCAUUCUUGAAGUCAGUGAGACCAAGAACCCACCAAUUCGGGACACAAUAUGAAAGGAAGACUAACGUUUGCACUCCACCUAACCUACUACUUGGAGCAUGUUUGCUGAGGAUAAUGGCCUCCAGCUCCAUUCAUGUUCCUGCAAAAGACAUGAUCUUGUUCUUUUUUAGGUCUGCAUACUAUUCCACAGUGUGUAUGUACCACUUUUUUUUUUUUUUCUUUUCCCCGGGUCACAGAACCAAUUCAUUCACCCGGCGGCACCACUGCUGUCAUUUCAGCUUCUGGCCACUGGGAGGCGCUGCUCGAAAGGGUUUGCCCUGAGACUCCGAGAAGAAGCUGCGGGAAGGACAGCAGGGGUCCUG
RNAcentral lists this long non-coding RNA (900 nucleotides) under Homo sapiens (human). RNAcentral describes it as "HSALNT0315552". Lineage: Eukaryota; Metazoa; Chordata; Mammalia; Primates; Hominidae. The record is from RNAcentral.